CGUCUUCUGGGGGCUGUACCGCGUAAUUGUUGGAAGUAUGCCCACAAAGCCACUCAUUUGAUGUAAUAGCUUUUGGAAUACUUAUUGUAUUAAACUUUUAUAUGUUUAAUGAAAGGCAAAACUUAUUGUUAAUCACUAUUUAUUGUAUCAUGUGCUUAAGCAAUAAGAGAAUCCAAGGGAUGUAUUUGAUCUAAGAGACAAGUGAUUUAAGUAAGUUAGAUUAUCGAGACAUUUCUCUUAUGUUCAUUCCUAAAACGUUUUUAGCCAUAGGAUUGCCAAUUGGGCAUUGACAAUCCGCUAAGGUUAGUAUGUGUUAUGUCGACUCAAGUGUGAGUAUGACUAGUCUCAAGUCAUUUGGUGUUGGACACUAAGACAAACACAUAGGUGCUCGAAAGAGUAAUCGAGUACACUGAACUACGAUCAAAAGAGAGUUCGAACAUACAUGUCAUGUAAGAACUCGAUAGUUGCAAUAUGCAAAGUAGUCCUUUGACCUGAGGCAUCAUAGAUGUCUAAUGGUUAGGUCCUUGACCUUUGAUCAUGUCAAAGGCAUUCCAUUGGAGUGUCCACAGCAUUGUUGGGGUCAAGCUAUCUAGUCAUGUAGGCAUAUGAAUGCACAACAAGGGAUCUCUAACCUUCCAUGGUGGAAGGAGAAUACUCUAAGUUGUGAUUCGAGAGUCUUUGGCCAAAGCAUAUGAAUAUGACUUAGGAAGUU
Molecule: long non-coding RNA, 712 nt
Filed under: Malus domestica (apple)
Lineage: Eukaryota; Viridiplantae; Streptophyta; Magnoliopsida; Rosales; Rosaceae
Description: long non-coding RNA (MDOM_LNC018528)
Source: RNAcentral